This 28-nucleotide non-coding RNA is filed under the name Mus musculus (house mouse). The record is from RNAcentral. Lineage: Eukaryota; Metazoa; Chordata; Mammalia; Rodentia; Muridae.
UGGUGACUGGAAUUUCUCCCAUCAAACA